Molecule: ribosomal RNA, 509 nt
Filed under: bacterium enrichment culture clone ALO1_GLFRUDD03HCHGR
Lineage: Bacteria
Description: bacterial SSU rRNA
Rfam family: Bacterial small subunit ribosomal RNA
Source: RNAcentral
GAGUUUGAUCUUGGCUCAGAUUGAACGCUGGCGGCAGGCCUAACACAUGCAAGUCGAGCGGAUGACGGGAGCUUGCUCCUUGAUUCAGCGGCGGACGGGUGAGUAAUGCCUAGGAAUCUGCCUGGUAGUGGGGGACAACGUUUCGAAAGGAACGCUAAUACCGCAUACGUCCUACGGGAGAAAGCAGGGGACCUUCGGGCCUUGCGCUAUCAGAUGAGCCUAGGUCGGAUUAGCUAGUUGGUGGGGUAAUGGCUCACCAAGGCGACGAUCCGUAACUGGUCUGAGAGGAUGAUCAGUCACACUGGAACUGAGACACGGUCCAGACUCCUACGGGAGGCAGCAGUGGGGAAUAUUGGACAAUGGGCGAAAGCCUGAUCCAGCCAUGCCGCGUGUGUGAAGAAGGUCUUCGGAUUGUAAAGCACUUUAAGUUGGGAGGAAGGGCAGUAAGUUAAUACCUUGCUGUUUGACGUUACCGACAGAAUAAGCACCGGCUAACUCUGUGCCAGCCG